This 974-nucleotide ribosomal RNA is filed under the name Bacillus sp. (in: firmicutes). RNAcentral's name for it is "bacterial SSU rRNA". It matches the Rfam family "Bacterial small subunit ribosomal RNA", at positions 62 to 1017 of the family's 1533-position model. The record is from RNAcentral. Lineage: Bacteria; Bacillati; Bacillota; Bacilli; Caryophanales; Bacillaceae.
UCGAGCGGACCGACGGGAGCUUGCUCCCUUAGGUCAGCGGCGGACGGGUGAGUAACACGUGGGUAACCUGCCUGUAAGACUGGGAUAACUCCGGGAAACCGGGGCUAAUACCGGAUGCUUGAUUGAACCGCAUGGUUCAAUCAUAAAAGGUGGCUUUUAGCUACCACUUACAGAUGGACCCGCGGCGCAUUAGCUAGUUGGUGAGGUAACGGCUCACCAAGGCGACGAUGCGUAGCCGACCUGAGAGGGUGAUCGGCCACACUGGGACUGAGACACGGCCCAGACUCCUACGGGAGGCAGCAGUAGGGAAUCUUCCGCAAUGGACGAAAGUCUGACGGAGCAACGCCGCGUGAGUGAUGAAGGUUUUCGGAUCGUAAAACUCUGUUGUUAGGGAAGAACAAGUACCGUUCGAAUAGGGCGGUACCUUGACGGUACCUAACCAGAAAGCCACGGCUAACUACGUGCCAGCAGCCGCGGUAAUACGUAGGUGGCAAGCGUUGUCCGGAAUUAUUGGGCGUAAAGCGCGCGCAGGCGGUUUCUUAAGUCUGAUGUGAAAGCCCCCGGCUCAACCGGGGAGGGUCAUUGGAAACUGGGGAACUUGAGUGCAGAAGAGGAGAGUGGAAUUCCACGUGUAGCGGUGAAAUGCGUAGAGAUGUGGAGGAACACCAGUGGCGAAGGCGACUCUCUGGUCUGUAACUGACGCUGAGGCGCGAAAGCGUGGGGAGCGAACAGGAUUAGAUACCCUGGUAGUCCACGCCGUAAACGAUGAGUGCUAAGUGUUAGAGGGUUUCCGCCCUUUAGUGCUGCAGCAAACGCAUUAAGCACUCCGCCUGGGGAGUACGGUCGCAAGACUGAAACUCAAAGGAAUUGACGGGGGCCCGCACAAGCGGUGGAGCAUGUGGUUUAAUUCNAAGCAACGCGAAGAACUUACCAGGUCUUGACAUCCUCUGACAACCCUAGAGAUAGGGCUUCCC